AACGUUCCAUGUCACUGGCAAAAGACCAAUGUCAUUGGAAGUAGUGACAUGAUUGCAGUAAUUUACUGCUUUCCAUUUGUCUGUUGUGGAAUUCAUCUUGUAUACUUCAAAUAUUAAUGUGUCGAUUUUUGUCAAAAAUAGUAUAAACAAAAUUCUUUCGUUUCUUAUGCAUUAAAUCACUCCAGGAAGGAAAUACCAUUAUUUGAAUAGAGACGACAUCCCGCUGUUGCUCUUUACCGACUUUUGGCAAAAACAACAUUCUAACAGUCAAUAAUCUCGUUCAACGUCUCACAUUUAAAACCCGUUUCAAUUUCGAUCAGAUCAAACUAUCCUUAUGGCUCCAAAGUCCUCAAAAAAAAAGUUUAAAUUUGCAAAAAAUGACAAAAAGUUUUUAAAUGAAGCUAAAGAAAAAGUUAAGAAAAAUGGGCUUGAUGGCAGAAGUGAUUGGUAUAUAUGCCAAAUCAAGGAAUGGAAAAAAAUAAAAAGGUGUUUGCUUUCAUCGGAUCAAAGAAAUCAGGAAACUUUUUAAUCGAGGCUCUUAGUCGAUUGCGUCGUUUGCUUCAAUCAGUUCAAUGAAUUUUGUUAAAUGGUUUCAAACCAAUAAAAUCUAAUAAAUAAAGAAUUAACAGAUGCAAAGUCCGCAAAAAUACGUAUAACUACUUAUUUAUAAGCCACAACAUCGUUAUUUGUCUUGAACAGACUUCGCCUUUUGGUAAUUUAUGAUUAACUGUGCUUUAAAAAUUGUCCAUUUCGUACUUAAUGUUUCAGUAUAAUAUAGAAGCUCUCAAAAUCAUGGAUGGAAAAAGAACUCUGUUAAAAUUUUCAAAAUUAAAAUGACAAGUCACAACAAAUUUGAUUUAGUUGAAAUAUUAAUUAUUAAAGAAAUAUAAGAGCUACAUACUUCAUUACAUUUGAAAGACUUUAAUUUUUAAAGAAAUAAAAAUCGAUAUA
This is a long non-coding RNA of Xenia sp. Carnegie-2017, 951 nucleotides long. RefSeq lists it as uncharacterized. The record is from RefSeq and is a predicted model, not a curated record. Lineage: Eukaryota; Metazoa; Cnidaria; Anthozoa; Malacalcyonacea; Xeniidae. The transcript has 2 exons.